This 72-nucleotide transfer RNA is filed under the name Camelus bactrianus (Bactrian camel). It matches the Rfam family "tRNA". From Rfam's summary of the family: Transfer RNA (tRNA) molecules are approximately 80 nucleotides in length. Lineage: Eukaryota; Metazoa; Chordata; Mammalia; Artiodactyla; Camelidae. The record is from Rfam by way of RNAcentral. RNAcentral also lists the same sequence under 1 other name.
GAGGGCACAGCUCAGUGGUAGAGUGCAUGCUUAGAUUGCAUGAGGUUCUGGGUUCAAUCUCCAGUACCUCCA